This 317-nucleotide unclassified non-coding RNA is filed under the name Hevea brasiliensis (rubber tree). The record is from RNAcentral. Lineage: Eukaryota; Viridiplantae; Streptophyta; Magnoliopsida; Malpighiales; Euphorbiaceae.
CAUGCUGGAUGAUCUCUAUCUUCCCCUUCAGGUAGAUAUGCUCUCCAAUACCAGUCCCGGUCUUGAAUAGUGACAAAAUACUUACCAUCUAAUCUCUUCUCUGAUUCAGUUCUCUCUUGCCCACCAAACAUUGGGUGAAGAAUGAUAUUACCCAAAACUUCAAUUUCUGCUUCUGCUGCCCUCACUGCAACAUGGUGAGCAAUAUUUCCACCUGAACUAUCCCCAGCCAAGUAUACAUGGACCUUGGAAUCCUCUCCACUUUGAAGCCAAGUUCUUGAUUUAACCCACUUAAGAGCUGCCCAACCAUCAUCAUAUGC